GACGAACGCUGGCGGCGUGCUUAACACAUGCAAGUCGAACGGAAAGGCCUCUUUCGGGGGGUACUCGAGUGGCGAACGGGUGAGUAACACGUGAGUAACCUGCCCUUGACUUUGGGAUAACUUCAGGAAACUGGGGCUAAUACCGGAUAGGAGCUCCUGCUGCAUGGUGGGGGUUGGAAAGUUUCGGCGGUUGGGGAUGGACUCGCGGCUUAUCAGCCUGUUGGUGGGGUAGUGGCUUACCAAGGCUUUGACGGGUAGCCGGCCUGAGAGGGUGACCGGCCACAUUGGGACCGAGAUAAGGCCCAGACUCCUACGGGAGGCAGCAGUGGGGAAUAUUGCACAAUGGGUGGAAGCCUGAUGCAGCAACGCCGUGUGCGGGAUGACGGCCUUCGGGUUGUAAACCGCUUUCGCUCAUGACGAAGCUUUGUGUGACGGUAGUGGGUAAAGAAGCACCGGCUAACUACGUG
Molecule: ribosomal RNA, 467 nt
Filed under: uncultured bacterium
Lineage: Bacteria
Description: partial 16S ribosomal RNA
Rfam family: Bacterial small subunit ribosomal RNA
Source: RNAcentral